Molecule: transfer RNA, 74 nt
Filed under: Calumma gastrotaenia gastrotaenia
Lineage: Eukaryota; Metazoa; Chordata; Lepidosauria; Squamata; Chamaeleonidae
Description: partial tRNA-Leu
Source: RNAcentral
ACUUUUAAAGGAAAGUAGUCAUCCAGUGGUCUUAGGAACCAAACCUCUUGGUGCAAAUCCAAGUAAAAGUAAUG